AGUGAACGCUGGCGAUAGGCCUAACACAUGCAAGUCGAACGGCAGCACAGUAAGAGCUUGCUCUUACGGGUGGCGAGUAGCGGACGGGUGAGGAAUACAUCGGAAUCUACUUUUUCGUGGGGGAUAACGUAGGGAAACUUACGCUAAUACCGCAUACGACCUACGGGUGAAAGCAGGGGAUCUUCGGACCUUGCGCGAUUGAAUGAGCCGAUGUCGGAUUAGCUAGUUGGCGGGGUAAAGGCCCACCAAGGCGACGAUCCGUAGCUGGUCUGAGAGGAUGAUCAGCCACACUGGAACUGAGACACGGUCCAGACUCCUGCGGGAGGCAGCAGUGGGGAAUAUUGGACAAUGGGCGCAAGCCUGAUCCAGCCAUACCGCGUGGGUGAAGAAGGCCUUCGGGUUGUAAAGCCCUUUUGUUGGGAAAGAAAAGCAGCAGGUUAAUACCCCGCUGUUCUGACGGUACCCAAAGAAUAAGCACCGGCUAACUUCGUG
RNAcentral lists this ribosomal RNA (492 nucleotides) under uncultured bacterium. Its description in RNAcentral is "partial 16S ribosomal RNA". It matches the Rfam family "Bacterial small subunit ribosomal RNA", at positions 29 to 507 of the family's 1533-position model. The record is from RNAcentral.